CUCACGAGUUCUCUAUUAGACAUAUAUUAUCUCUAUAACCUAUGAGGAAACUAAGGCUUAUGGAGGUUAAGAUCACUUGCCCAAGGUCACACAAUCAGUAAUUUUCUUUCUUUCUUUCUUUCUUUCUUUCUUUCUUUCUUUCUUUCUUUCUUUCUUUCUUUCUUUCUUUCUUCUGAAGCACAUUUCUUUUCUUUUCUUUUCUUUUUUACAAUUUUAUUUAUUUAUUUAGAGAGAGAGUGAGAGAGAGAGCGGCGGGGUAGGGAUAGAAGAAGAGAGAGAAUCCCAAGCAGACUCUCCAAUGAAUGUGGAGCCCAAUGUGGGGCUCGAUCUCACAGCCCUGCGAUCAUGACCUGAGCCAAAACCAAGAGUGAGAUGUUCAACAGACUGAGCCACCCAGAUGCCCCUGGGUGACUUUUUAGCAACCUUUUGUGCAGUCUGGUUCCUCAUCUCACUCCACACUACAGUAGGCUUUUUUAUUCUCAGAUGACAGCAGAGAAUCCAUUGUGUCCCAGGGGUACCGGCAGAAACACCCUUCAGUACAAUGACAAGGGGCAGCUGAGAACAUUACAUCAUCAUCUCUCAUGAGAUGCCCAGUGUUCUUGGCUGCAGAUAGAGAAUGGUUUCCAUGUCUUAAAGUCAUUAUAGGUUCCAUUAGAAAACCUACUUGGAAGACACAGAACACUCAUGGACAAGAUGCUCAUGCUGCUCCUGUGGUCUUGCACUCUAUCCUUGUUUCCUCUCAGUGGCUUACCGGGGUCGCUGAUAGUUGGCCUGCUGUUUGACAGGUGUUGCAGGUAAAGGAGAUGUGUUGCCCUCACUUAAACCACAUUGUCUCUAGAUUGUGCAUGUGGUGGGAAUUGGUAUGAUCUUGAAAAUCAAGAGGCUUGAAGUCCAGUUCCCACUUGGCCACAGACGCCAUGCCCUGGAAAUAAGCCCCUGAAUUUCUCGGGACUUCUUCCCAUGUCCAUUGCACAGAACAACAUUCCCUCCAUCAUCUACCCCAUGGAGGGGGCACAGCCUUUGAAAGAAGAGUGCUUGAUGGCACUUAGCAUAUGCCUCAGCAGUGCACCCCUGCCCCUCAGCCUCUGCUUGAAUGCCUUCAUCGAUGAGUUCUCCCCUCCAAACACAGCCCAUUCCAGCCUGGGCUCUGGAGCCAUUUAAGGCACAGCUUUCCAUCCUGGCUCUGCCUCUUGGGCACCUGGAGUCAUCAAGUUUUUGGGUUACCUUCCCCCCCCCAGUUGUUUUUAUUUUUGUAUUCUCUUAAUGUGCACAUCAUGUGUAUUUGAACCCUGAAGCCAGUGGAAGGCUGGCCCAUGCUUCUGAAAGCCCAAGGCCUACGUCUUUACCCUCCCCCAAUGCCUGACACCUGGAUCAUCAGGCUUCCUCAUCAUUUCCUGUUACUGGGUGGACUUCUUUCCCACCCUCCCUUUUGCUGAAGAUAUUCUCUCCACGGUCCCACUUUGGAUAGGGUUUUUAUUCCAGUUCUCCCCCCUUGGCUGUGGCACUAAGAGGAGGGAAUCCUGGAGCUGCUGGGACCCACCAUGGGGGGGAAGGUUUACUUGAGAACCAGCAGAGGGCAGAGCAGAGCGACAAAGAGCUCUGUGUUGAUGACACGGCGUGAGCACUGGGAUCAGCUGUGAUGGAAGCCAGAAAUCAUCUGAAGUUUUUAGUAGGGUAAACCAAUAGACUUCCUUUGUUGCUAAAACCUGUUUGAUCUGGAUUUUCUGUCUCUGAAAACAAAUAGUCUUG
Molecule: long non-coding RNA, 1749 nt
Filed under: Canis lupus familiaris (dog)
Lineage: Eukaryota; Metazoa; Chordata; Mammalia; Carnivora; Canidae
Description: lncRNA (ENSCAFG00000055415.1)
Source: RNAcentral